UAAACUAGGGAUUAGAUACCCUAUUAUUUUUUUUUAUUUUAAAGAAAUGGUAAUUUUUAAGCUAAUAAAAUUGGCGGUUUCUUUACUUUUUAGAGGAGCUUGUUUCAUAAAGGAUAUUACCCCAAUUGAUUUACUAUAUUUAAGGUUUUUAUAUCGCUGUUGUUAAAAUAUUAUUGAAUUUAAUAUUUAAAAUUUAUUUUAUUAAAUACUUCAAGUCAAGAUGAAACUAUAUUAUAGAGAAAAUGAGCUACAAUAAGAAAUUUUAGGACGAAAAAGAAAUUUUAAUUUUUUAAUGAAGGUGGAUUUAAAAGUAAAUUUUAAGAAAAAUUGAAUAUGGUACAAAGAAAUGUACAUAUCGCCGGUCGCUCU
This 369-nucleotide ribosomal RNA is filed under the name Austropurcellia daviesae. Its description in RNAcentral is "partial 12S ribosomal RNA". Lineage: Eukaryota; Metazoa; Arthropoda; Arachnida; Opiliones; Pettalidae. The record is from RNAcentral.